Molecule: ribosomal RNA, 492 nt
Filed under: uncultured bacterium
Lineage: Bacteria
Description: partial 16S ribosomal RNA
Rfam family: Bacterial small subunit ribosomal RNA
Source: RNAcentral
AGUGAACGCUGGCGGUAGGCCUAACACAUGCAAGUUGAACGGCAGCACAGUAAGAGCUUGCUCUUACGGGUGGCGAGUGGCGGACGGGUGAGGAAUACAUCGGAAUCUACUUUUUCGUGGGGGAUAACGUAGGGAAACUUACGCUAAUACCGCAUACGACCUACGGGUGAAAGCAGGGGAUCUUCGGACCUUGCGCGAUUGAAUGAGCCGAUGUCGGAUUAGCUAGUUGGCGGGGUAAAGGCCCACCAAGGCGACGAUCCGUAGCUGGUCUGAGAGGGUGAUCAGCCACACUGGAACUGAGACACGGUCCAGACUCCUACGGGAGGCAGCAGUGGGGAAUAUUGGACAAUGGGCGCAAGCCUGAUCCAGCCAUACCGCGUGGGUGAAGAAGGCCUUCGGGUUGUAAAGCCCUUUUGUUGGGAAAGAAAAGCAGCAGGUUAAUACCCCGCUGUUCUGACGGUACCCAAAGAAUAAGCACCGGCUAACUUCGUG